This is a non-coding RNA of Pelagophyceae sp. CCMP2097, 73 nucleotides long. NCBI's taxonomy places the organism in Eukaryota, Pelagophyceae. The record is from the annotation of a GenBank genome assembly.
GAUUUCUUGGCGUAGAGGUCAUCGCGUUUGUCUUACACACAAAAGGUCGCGGGUUCGAUCCCCGCAGAGAUUA